UCGAGAAUAUUCGUCAAUGGGCGAAAGCCUGAACGAGCGACACCGCGUGUAGGAAGAAGGUCUUCGGAUUGUAAACUACUUUUCUAGGGGAGGAAUCCGCCGCAAGGCGGAUGACGGUACCCUAGGAAUAAGGAGGUCCUAACUCUGUGCCAGCAGGAGCGGUAAUACAGAGCCUCCAAGCGUUAUCCGGAUUUAUUGGGCGUAAAGGGUCCGUAGGCGCCUUGUUAAGUUUUCUAUUAAAUUUCCAGAGCUCAACUUUGGAACUGUAGAAAAAACUGAUAAGGUUGAGGGCACUAGGGGUUGGAGGAACGGUCGGUGUAGGGGUGAAAUCCGUUGAUAUCGACCGGAACACCAAAAGCGAAGGCAUCCAACUAGGGUGGCCCUGACGCUGAGGGACGAAAGCGUGGGUAGCAAAAAGG
This 419-nucleotide ribosomal RNA is filed under the name uncultured bacterium. Its description in RNAcentral is "bacterial SSU rRNA". It matches the Rfam family "Bacterial small subunit ribosomal RNA", at positions 355 to 776 of the family's 1533-position model. The record is from RNAcentral.